GAUGAACGCUGGCGGCGUGCCUAACACAUGCAAGUCGAACGGAGUCCAGCCUUUAAGACCUUCGGGUCAAAGAGGGGAAGACUGAGUGGCGGACGGGUGAGUAACACGUGGGCAACCUGGCUCAUAGAGGGGGAUAACAGAGAGAAAUUUCUGCUAAUACCGCAUAAGCACACACUGCCGCAUGGCAGAGGGUGAAAAGAGAAUCGCUAUGAGAUGGACCCGCGUCUGAUUAGCCAGUUGGCAGGGUAAGAGCCUACCAAAGCGACGAUCAGUAGCCGAUCUGAGAGGAUGAACGGCCACAUUGGGACUGAGACACGGCCCAAACUCCUACGGGAGGCAGCAGUGGGGGAUAUUGCACAAUGGGGGGAACCCUGAUGCAGCGACGCCGCGUGAGUGAAGAAGUAUUUCGGUAUGUAAAGCCCUAUCAGCAGGGAAGAUAAUGACAGUACCUGAAUAAGAAGCCCCGGCUAACUACGUG
Molecule: ribosomal RNA, 478 nt
Filed under: uncultured bacterium
Lineage: Bacteria
Description: partial 16S ribosomal RNA
Rfam family: Bacterial small subunit ribosomal RNA
Source: RNAcentral